RNAcentral lists this ribosomal RNA (159 nucleotides) under uncultured bacterium. RNAcentral describes it as "partial 16S ribosomal RNA". It matches the Rfam family "Bacterial small subunit ribosomal RNA", at positions 319 to 471 of the family's 1533-position model. The record is from RNAcentral.
CUGAGACACGGUCCAGACUCCUACGGGAGGCAGCAGUGGGGAAUAUUGGACAAUGGGCGAAAGCCUGAUCCAGCCAUGCCGCGUGUGUGAAGAAGGNCUUCGGAUNGUAAAGCACUUUAANUUGGGAGGAAGGGNUGUAGAUUAAUACUCNGCANUUUG